AUGCAAGUCGAGGGGCAGCAUGGUCUUAGCUUGCUAAGGCCGAUGGCGACCGGCGCACGGGUGAGUAACACGUAUCCAACCUGCCGUCUACUCUUGGACAGCCUUCUGAAAGGAAGAUUAAUACAAGAUGGCAUCAUGAGUCCGCAUGUUCACAUGAUUAAAGGUAUUCCGGUAGACGAUGGGGAUGCGUCCCAUUAGAUAGUAGGCGGGGUAACGGCCCACCUAGUCUUCGAUGGAUAGGGGUUCUGAGAGGAAGGUCCCCCACAUUGGAACUGAGACACGGUCCAAACUCCUACGGGAGGCAGCAGUGAGGAAUAUUGGUCAAUGGGCGAGAGCCUGAACCAGCCAAGUAGCGUGAAGGAUGACUGCCCUAUGGGUUGUAAACUUCUUUUAUAAAGGAAUAAAGUCGGGUAUGGAUACCCGUUUGCAUGUACUUUAUGAAUAAGGAUCGGCUAACUCCGUGCCAGCAGCCGCGGUAAUACGGAGGAUCCGAGCGUUAUCCGGAUUUAUUGGGUUUAAAGGGAGCGUAGAUGGAUGUUUAAGUCAGUUGUGAAAGUUUGCGGCUCAACCGUAAAAUUGCAGUUGAUACUGGAUAUCUUGAGUGCAGUUGAGGCAGGCGGAAUUCGUGGUGUAGCGGUGAAAUGCUUAGAUAUCACGAAGAA
This 662-nucleotide ribosomal RNA is filed under the name uncultured Bacteroidales bacterium. RNAcentral describes it as "bacterial SSU rRNA". It matches the Rfam family "Bacterial small subunit ribosomal RNA", at positions 55 to 706 of the family's 1533-position model. Lineage: Bacteria; Pseudomonadati; Bacteroidota; Bacteroidia; Bacteroidales. The record is from RNAcentral.